GGCUGCAACUCGCCUACCACGAAGCUGGAAUCGCUAGUAAUCGCGGAUCAGCACGCCGCGGUGAAUACGUUCCCGGGCCUUGUACACACCGCCCGUCACACCAUGGAAGUCUGCAAUGCCCGAAGCCGGUGGCCUAACCACUUAUGUGGAAGGAGCCGUCUAAGGCAGGGCAGAUGACUGGGGUGAAGUCGUAACAAGGUAGC
Molecule: ribosomal RNA, 203 nt
Filed under: uncultured bacterium
Lineage: Bacteria
Description: partial 16S ribosomal RNA
Rfam family: Bacterial small subunit ribosomal RNA
Source: RNAcentral